UCCUACGGGGGGCAGCAGUGGGGGAUAUUUCACAAUGGGGGGAACCCUGAUGCAGCGACGCCGCGUGGGUGAAGAAGCGCCUCGGCGCGUAAAGCCCUGUCAGCAGGGAAGAAAAUGACGGUACCUGAAGAAGAAGCCCCGGCUAACUACGUGCCAGCAGCCGCGGUAAUACGUAGGGGGCAAGCGUUAUCCGGAUUUACUGGGUGUAAAGGGGGCGCAGACGGCGAUGCAAGCCAGGAGUGAAAGCCCGGGGCCCAACCCCGGGACUGCUCUUGGAACUGCGUGGCUGGAGUGCAGGAGGGGCA
This 305-nucleotide ribosomal RNA is filed under the name uncultured bacterium. Its description in RNAcentral is "partial 16S ribosomal RNA". It matches the Rfam family "Bacterial small subunit ribosomal RNA", at positions 337 to 659 of the family's 1533-position model. The record is from RNAcentral.